AAUAUUUUACAAUGGGGGGAAACCUGAUCCAGCCUUCACGCGUGUGUGAUGAAGGCGUUCGGGGUGUAAAGAACUUUUGACAGGGAAGAAACAACACUGGCUAAGACCCAGUGCCAAUGACGGUACCUCUAGCAUAAGCACCGGCUAACUACGUGCCAGCAGCCGCGGUAAUACGUAGGGUGCAAGCGUUAAUCGGAAUUACUGGGCGAAAAGGAUACGCAGGCGGCUAGGAAAGAAAGAUGUGAAGUCCCAGGGCUCAACCUUGGAACUGCAUUCUGAACUGCCUAGCUAGAGUAUGUCAGAGGGGGGUAGAAUUCCACGUGAUGCAGUGAAAUGCGUAGAUAUGUGGAGGAAUACCGAUGGCGAAGGCAGCCCCCUGGGAUAAUACUGACGCUCAGGUACGAAAGCGUGGGGAGCAAACA
Molecule: ribosomal RNA, 422 nt
Filed under: uncultured bacterium
Lineage: Bacteria
Description: partial 16S ribosomal RNA
Rfam family: Bacterial small subunit ribosomal RNA
Source: RNAcentral